GAAUGCUGACAUAAGUAACGAUAAAGCGGGUGAAAAGCCCGCUCGCCGGAAGACCAAGGGUUCCUGUCCAACGUUAAUCGGGGCAGGGUGAGUCGACCCCUAAGGCGAGGCCGAAAGGCGUAGUCGAUGGGAAACGGGUUAAUAUUCCCGUACUUGGUGUUACUGCGAAGGGGGGACGGAGAAGGCUAUGUUGGCCGGGCGACGGUUGUCCCGGUUUAAGCGUGUAGGUGUGUGUUCCAGGUAAAUCCGGUUCACUUUAACACUGAGGCGUGACGACGAGGCACUACGGUGCUGAAGCAACAAAUGCCCUGCUUCCAGGAAAAGCCUCUAAGCAUCAGGUAACAUCAAAUCGUACCCCAAACCGACACAGGUGGUCAGGUAGAGAAUACCAAGGCGCUUGAGAGAACUCGGGUGAAGGAACUAGGCAAAAUGGUGCCGUAACUUCGGGAGAAGGCACGCUGACAUGUAGGUGAAGUGAUUUACUCAUGGAGCUGAAGUCAGUCGAAGAUACCAGCUGGCUGCAACUGUUUAUUAAAAACACAGCACUGUGCAAACACGAAAGUGGACGUAUACGGUGUGACGCCUGCCCGGUGCCGGAAGGUUAAUUGAUGGGGUCAGCGCAAGCGAAGCUCCUGAUCGAAGCCCCGGUAAACGGCGGCCGUAACUAUAACGGUCCUAAGGUAGCGAAAUUCCUUGUCGGGUAAGUUCCGACCUGCACGAAUGGCGUAAUGAUGGCCAGGCUGUCUCCACCCGAGACUCAGUGAAAUUGAACUCGCUGUGAAGAUGCAGUGUACCCGCGGCAAGACGGAAAGACCCCGUGAACCUUUACUAUAGCUUGACACUGAACAUUGAGCCUUGAUGUGUAGGAUAGGUGGGAGGCUUUGAAGUGUGGACGCCAGUCUGCAUGGAGCCGACCUUGAAAUACCACCCUUUAAUGUUUGAUGUUCUAACGUGGACCCGUAAUCCGGGUUGCGGACAGUGUCUGGUGGGUAGUUUGACUGGGGCGGUCUCCUCCUAAAGAGUAACGGAGGAGCACGAAGGUUGGCUAAUCCUGGUCGGACAUCAGGAGGUUAGUGCAAUGGCAUAAGCCAGCUUGACUGCGAGCGUGACGGCGCGAGCAGGUGCGAAAGCAGGUCAUAGUGAUCCGGUGGUUCUGAAUGGAAGGGCCAUCGCUCAACGGAUAAAAGGUACUCCGGGGAUAACAGGCUGAUACCGCCCAAGAGUUCAUAUCGACGGCGGUGUUUGGCACCUCGAUGUCGGCUCAUCACAUCCUGGGGCUGAAGUAGGUCCCAAGGGUAUGGCUGUUCGCCAUUUAAAGUGGUACGCGAGCUGGGUUUAGAACGUCGUGAGACAGUUCGGUCCCUAUCUGCCGUGGGCGCUGGAGAACUGAGGGGGGCUGCUCCUAGUACGAGAGGACCGGAGUGGACGCAUCACUGGUGUUCGGGUUGUCAUGCCAAUGGCACUGCCCGGUAGCUAAAUGCGGAAGAGAUAAGUGCUGAAAGCAUCUAAGCACGAAACUUGCCCCGA
Molecule: ribosomal RNA, 1527 nt
Filed under: Salmonella enterica subsp. enterica
Lineage: Bacteria; Pseudomonadati; Pseudomonadota; Gammaproteobacteria; Enterobacterales; Enterobacteriaceae
Also listed under: 1 other name
Description: partial 23S ribosomal RNA
Rfam family: Bacterial large subunit ribosomal RNA
Source: RNAcentral